CAGCAGCCACGGGAAUACAGAGGGUGCGAGCGUUAAUCGGAUUUACUGGGCGUAAAGCGUGCGUAGGCGGAUUCUUAAGUCGGAUGUGAAAUCCCUGAACUUAACUUAGGAAUUGCAUUCGAUACUGGGAAGCUAGAGUAUGGGAGAGGAUGGUAGAAUUCCAGGUGUAGCGGUGAAAUGCGUAGAGAUCUGGAGGAAUACCGAUGGCGAAGGCAGCCAUCUGGCCUAAUACUGACGCUGAGGUACGAAAGCAUGGGGAGCAAACAGGAUUAGAUACCCCCGUAGUCCCUGUCUCUUAUAC
RNAcentral lists this ribosomal RNA (301 nucleotides) under uncultured bacterium. RNAcentral describes it as "partial 16S ribosomal RNA". It matches the Rfam family "Bacterial small subunit ribosomal RNA", at positions 509 to 807 of the family's 1533-position model. The record is from RNAcentral.